GUGCCAGGAGCCGCGGUAAUACCGGCAGCCCGAGUGAUGGCCGAUCUUAUUGGGCCUAAAGCGUCCGUAGCUGGCUGCGCAAGUCCGUCGGGAAAUCCACUCGCCCAACGAGUGGGCGUCCGACGGAAACUGCACAGCUUGGGACCGGAAGGCUCGAAGGGUACGUUCGGGGUAGGAGUGAAAUCCCAUAAUCCCGCACGGACCACCGAUGGCGAAAGCACUUCGAGAAAACGGAUCCGACAGUGAGGGACGAAAGCUAAGAUCGCGAACCGGAUUAGAAACCCCGGUAGUCC
RNAcentral lists this ribosomal RNA (293 nucleotides) under uncultured bacterium. RNAcentral's name for it is "partial 16S ribosomal RNA". It matches the Rfam family "Archaeal small subunit ribosomal RNA", at positions 455 to 747 of the family's 1478-position model. The record is from RNAcentral.